CCUACGGGUGGCAGCAGUGGGGAAUAUUGGACAAUGGGGGGAACCCUGAUCCAGCCAUGCCGCGUGUGUGAAGAAGGCCCUCGGGUUGUAAAGCACUUUCAGUGAGGAAGAACGCCUGGUGGUUAAUACCCAUCAGGAAAGACAUCACUCACAGAAGAAGCACCGGCUAACUCCGUGCCAGCAGCCGCGGUAAUACGGAGGGUGCGAGCGUUAAUCGGAAUUACUGGGCGUAAAGCGCGCGUAGGUGGCUUGAUAAGCCGGUUGUGAAAGCCCCGGGCUCAACCUGGGAACGGCAUCCGGAACUGUCAAGCUAGAGUGCAGGAGAGGAAGGUAGAAUUCCCGGUGUAGCGGUGAAAUGCGUAGAGAUCGGGAGGAAUACCAGUGGCGAAGGCGGCCUUCUGGACUGACACUGACACUGAGGUGCGAAAGCGUGGGUAGCGAACAGGAUUAGAUACCCGAGUAGUC
This 465-nucleotide ribosomal RNA is filed under the name Vreelandella stevensii. Its description in RNAcentral is "partial 16S ribosomal RNA". It matches the Rfam family "Bacterial small subunit ribosomal RNA", at positions 338 to 795 of the family's 1533-position model. The record is from RNAcentral. Lineage: Bacteria; Pseudomonadati; Pseudomonadota; Gammaproteobacteria; Oceanospirillales; Halomonadaceae.